This 245-nucleotide non-coding RNA is filed under the name Afipia sp. The record is from RNAcentral. Lineage: Bacteria; Pseudomonadati; Pseudomonadota; Alphaproteobacteria; Hyphomicrobiales; Nitrobacteraceae.
GAUUGCCAGCACGGCACAGGUGCCGGCGCGAGCCGGCGAAUAGGGAAUUCGGUGCCGCCGCAGAGGCUUGUGCUUUUGGCACACCUGCCCUUUUGCGGCAAUUCCGAAGCUGCCCCCGCAACUGUCAGCGGUGAGCCGUUGUCCAAUGCGCCACUGGGCGAAGACUCCUCACGAGUCGGACCUGGGAAGGCGGACAACGGCGAGGAUCCGCGAGCCAGGAGACCUGCCUGUACCGGUCAUCCUUC